RNAcentral lists this small nucleolar RNA (106 nucleotides) under Nomascus leucogenys (northern white-cheeked gibbon). RNAcentral describes it as "Small nucleolar RNA U13". It matches the Rfam family "Small nucleolar RNA U13". The record is from Rfam by way of RNAcentral. Lineage: Eukaryota; Metazoa; Chordata; Mammalia; Primates; Hylobatidae.
AUCCUUUUGUAUAGUUCAUAAGUGUGAUGACUGGGGUUUUCACCUCAUGUGUAAGAUGUGCCUCCCUCAAACCUUACUACAAGGUCAGCACAUUACCUGUCUGACA